Brienomyrus brachyistius is the source of this 4369-nucleotide long non-coding RNA. RefSeq lists it as uncharacterized. Lineage: Eukaryota; Metazoa; Chordata; Actinopteri; Osteoglossiformes; Mormyridae. The record is from RefSeq and is a predicted model, not a curated record. The transcript has 3 exons.
CAGAAAAGGAGGGAAAUAAAAAGUCACCCCCAUCUUCCGUUUGUACGAGGAAGCGGUCAAAAGUUAGUGCAUAUAGCAGCGGUCCACCAGCGGAGGGUCUGCGGACGCACACUUUGGCAGGACCCCAUAAGGGAAAAAAACGGCUAGUCAUCACGUUGUGGGGUGUCCCCAUAAGUGACCUGGUGACCGCGCUCUGAAUUGGGCUGAGAAGAUGAGACUGUAAAAGUGGGAGUGGCCAGUUAAGGUAGGGCUAUGCCAGAUAAGGUCGUCUAAGCAGUGAGAAGGAGGAAGCCCCCUUAAAGCCCUAAUAGCCCUAAAUACUCAUCUCAUUGCCUAAAUUUUGGUUGUACUUCUAAGAAUAUGAUUAAUAAGACUGUUUCAGAGUGCUCUAGCUAACUUGAUGGACAGUAGUCCAGUACCUCUUGUCAAAGUCCCAAGUCCACUUGGGUUGAGACUUGGUGACUCACAUAAUGCUGGCAGCCAAUCUGCCUUGUUUUUCCCUCUCAGUGUCCGCAGCUGCGAAUGCACUUCCGUGUUCUUGUCUUAGCAGCUCGGUGGAGUCAGAGGAUGCCAAUUUGCAGAUCAAAGGUACGGACUCUAGACCCUAACUUCCUGUGAAAUGUGGCCACCCAUUUUGCAUUUCUUAUAGCUAAGGAGGUGCAUGUGGUUUCGAUGGAGCAGUUUACUCAUACUGUAUAGCUGCAGAAACAGCGCGUUCGGCCUUUCCGGCUGCUGGGACCCCCGAACUACGGGGCAGUGACGGCCAGAGGAGGACAUUUCAGUAAAACUCCAAACCAGGUGUCAGCCAAGCAGUUGAGUAUAAAGAGUCACAGUCACAGAAUAAUCAACUGCUUGGUUGAAACAAGACGCUGGACCUGAAAUGUCCGCCUCUGAUGAGGGCAGUCAGGCACUGAUGUAGGUGUGUUAGCACCGUGUGCCAUUUAUAUCCUCACCUUGCCUGCUCUCCAUUUUAUCUCUGGUUCACCUGCCGUUUACAACUGCCAUAAAAUCAGCCACUGGUUGAUAAUAGUCUACCAUGGUCAGUUAUUUCUUCUGGUUUAGCAUGACGGUUUAUCUUGUAUUUUUUGAAUGCAAAUAUUUGUUGUUGGUUAUGACCCAUCACUAUAACAAAAUCGACAAGGAAGGAAACUCACCAGGCAAUUUCACACUUGUAGACCCUGUGAUCAUCUGAAUCAGCCUGUCACUCAUGGUAGGAGAGGAAGAACAUCCUAUGACACAGGACAUGCUGUGCAGCUGCCAGCCAACCCAUUGUCUGUGCAGUGCUAGUAGAACAUGCUAAGGGGAUGGGGGACUGUUUUGUGCCGUCGCUGAGUAUGUCCCCGUCGCAAACCUCAGCCGCCUCUUAAAAUACAUCGCAGUCUCUCGCCUGCUCACAAAGAAUCAUUUCCACCAAGGUAAGAUGCUAAAAAUGCAUGAAUGGAAAUUCAAACAUCCGCCGACCGCUGAACAGCGAACACAAAAACAACAACAGCAGAAUCCUCACCUAGAAUCUGACUUAGGUGGCCCUUCUGUGUCAGUCUUGGGGGGUCACAAUGACAAGUGGUAGCGGGAGCCUGGGUUGCCCUUCCUACAAUAUCUUUUGAUCCGUUCUCUUGCUCUUUGGCUUCUCUUUCAUAAUGCCAUAAGAGGAGAGUUUGUCUAUUGUUUAUUAGUCAUAUAUUGCAUAAAGCACGUAAGGGUUUGUUUGCAACUUUUUUUCCAUUGAAGCAAAGAGAUCAUCAGUUUCCUCAGCUGACUCAUAAUCACUCAAAGGGUCUAGUGAGCAGAAGGUUAAUAUUAGGAGUGAUAUCACAGUCACAAUGUCUGCACAGUGCUUGAGUUUCUACAGCCUGCAGAAGGUCUGGUUCAGGCAGACUGUCACUGGAGUGUGUUCUCCGCUUUUUUCACUCUGGAGAUGGGGUGGGGUGGUGACCAUCGGUGUUACUGGCUGUCCUCUCCAUCUCAGAUCUCACUGUGAGUCGAGGUUGCGCAAACAUCCUCACAUGCCAGCCUGAUCACCUCUGUGAAUAUACAGGGCACAUAUCCCGUACGUACCAGCCACCCACUGACCCGACGCCCACUGACCCGACGCCCACUUUCCUGGCUCUUUAGUCACACGUUGUAUUUAUGUUUUGCUGAAAGUUUCAUUGGUAUCAACUGUUUGCCUGCAAGCUUCCUGAAGUCUGAAAAUAGCGAUGGGGCCUGUCCCGUGGGCUGUGGGUUAAUUUUGAGGUUGUGACUUUCCCAGUUUUGUUAUGACACAUACUAAAUAACAGCAGACACCCACAGGAACUUACAGCAGCAUCCCUGUUUAAAUGUCCAUUCCAACAGGGUUCAUGCCAGACUCAUCCCUGUGACAUAAAUGUCCAUUCUAAUAGGCUCCAUGCCAUACACAACCCUGUGAUAUAAAUGUCCAUUCUAACAGGGCCCAUUCCAUACUCAUCCCUGUGACAUAAAUGUCCAUUCUUAUAGGGUCCAUGUAAUACUCACAAACUGCUGAAAAGUUAAUGCUGGCUGUCAGAACAUACAGUGCAUCACAGCUUGCUGCUGAGUAGCUGCAGACCGGUCAGAGUGCCCAUGCUGAGCCCUGUUCACUGACGAAAGCACCAACAAUGGUUGCGUGAGAGUCAGAACUGGGCCAUGGAGCAAUGGCACAUGGCAAUGGCCUGGUCUGAUGAGUCACAUUUCCUGUAAUGUUAUGCAUUUGGCUGGAUGUGUGUGUGUUGUUUACCUGGGCAAGAGAUGACACCUGGAUGCACUAUGAGAAGAAGGCAAGCCGACAGAGGCAGUGUGAUGCUCUAGGCAAUGUUCUACUGGGAAAACGUGGGUGCUGGCACUCAUGUGGAUGUAACUUUGAUGUGUGCCACCUACCUAAACAUCACUGAAGACCAAGAACAUCCCUUCAUGGCAACGGUAUUCCCUGAUGGCAGUGGCCUCUUUCAACCCUGGUGCAAAAAUUGUUCAGGAAUGGUUUUAGGAACAUGAAAGAGUUCAAUGUGUUGACUUGGCCUCCAAAUUCCCCAGAUCUCAAUCUGAUUGAGUAUCUGUGGGAUGUUCUGGGCAAACAAGUCUGAUCCAUAUCCUCACAACCAGGAUCCUCUGCUAACAUCUUGGUGCCAGAUAGCACAGGACACCUUCAGAGGUCUUGUGGAGUCCAUCCCUCGACAGGUCAAAGCUGUUUUGCUGGCUUCACAAUAUUAGGCAGGUGGUUUUAAUGUUGUGGCUGAUUGGUGUAUGCUUAUAUGGCUGUCUGAUGGCCACGUGACAUUAUUACUACCUGCAUGGAAUGUGCUUUCAAGUAGUCAGUCUGUAAAGAAUUCACUGCUUAGUGUCUGUUGUGGCGUUUGACACCCUUUUCCCAUAAAAUACUUUGCUUCAAAGUAAAAAGAAUGUUCUUCUGUUCUCAGAUUAGCAGACUGCACACAUACUACCCUCUAGUGGAUUCGAGGAGGUAUUGCUGUGUAAAUGAGUAAAUCCUGUUCCCAGCCUAUGACAAUCAUCCAUCCAUCCAUCAAUUUUCCAAACCGCUUAUCCUAUUGAGUCGCGGGGGGCCCGGAGCCUAUCCCGGAAGCAAUGGGCACGAGGCAGGGAACAACCCAGGAUGGGGGGCCAGCCCAUUGCAGGGCACACUCACACACCAUCCACUCACACAUGCACACCUAUGGGCAAUUUAGUAACUCCAAUUAGCCUCACCAUGUCUUUGGACUGUGGGGGGAAACCGGAGUACCCGGAGGAAACCCCACGACAACAUGGGGAGGACAUGCAAACUCCGCACACAUGUGACCCAGGCGGAGACUUGAACCUGAGUCCCAGAGGUGUGAGGCAACAGUGCUAACCACUGCACCACCAUGCUGCCCCCCCUAUGACAAUCAGUCAGUGCAAAUCGCUCAGUGCACUGUGUGUUAACGCAGUAAAAGUGUGUUUGGCUCUGUUGGGGGAAGACCUGAAUUAAGUACACAGAUCACAGUAAUUUCCACAGUAUAUCAGUUUAUUUUAUUUUAGUGAGGGAUUUUGCUUAUGUCAUAGAUAAACCCACAGAUUGAAUCUGACCACCAUUUCCUUAAUGUUAAAGAGCACAUGGUCGAAUCACAGACAGGGCGGCGCUGUUGUUCCAUAGGGUUGGGGUUCCUGACCUGUUGGUGUGCACACAUCGGUUAAUUUUGCACAAGAACAAAUUGAUGGACCAGUACAACUUGCAAGUACGUAGUUUGCUUCUGGAAAUUAACCAACCCCACCACAAAACCCUCCAAGAAUAAUGACCAGGGGUCAUACCACAGGUAAAGACUUGGGUUUUCACCUCAGCCAUUUCACAUGAUAGAGCAGCAUAUGGUCGCAGAGUUCAUCUUCUGCAAAGGGCUGUAUGGCUUUU